This is a long non-coding RNA of Armigeres subalbatus, 3250 nucleotides long. RefSeq lists it as uncharacterized. The transcript has 4 exons. The record is from RefSeq and is a predicted model, not a curated record. NCBI's taxonomy places the organism in Eukaryota, Metazoa, Arthropoda, Insecta, Diptera, Culicidae.
UUGUCUGGAGGAAUUUCCGGAGGAUAUCCUGGAGGAACUUCCGGUGGAAUUCCUUGAGAAACUUCCUGAGGAAUUGCUGGAGUUACUUCUGUAAGGAAUUCCUGUGGAUACUUCCGGAUGAAUUCCUGGAGGAUUUCCUGGAGGAAGUUCCGGAAAAAUUCUUGGAGGGACUUCCGCAGAAAUUACUGGAGGAACUUCCGCAGGAUUUCCAGAGGAAUUCCUUGAGGAACUUCCACAGGAGUUUCUAGAGGAGCUUUCGGAGGAGUUCUUGAAAUAACUUCUUGAUGAAUUCCUGGAGGAUGUUCCGAAGGAUUGCCUGGAGGGACUUCCAGAGGAAUUCCGGGAGGAUCUUCCGGAGAAGUUCACGGGAGAAUUUCUUAAGGAAUUCGUGGAGGAACUUCCGGAAAAAUUCCUGGAGUAAUUUCCGGAAGAAUUAAUGAAGGAAUUCCUGGAGCAACUUUCAGUGGAGUUCCUUGAGAAACUUCCUGAGGAAUUGCUGGAUGAAAUUACGCAGGAAUUACUGGAGGAACUUCCAGAAGAAUUCCUGGAGGAACUUCCGGAAGAAUUCCUGGAGGAACUUCUGGAGCAAUUCCUGGAGGAACUUCCAGAGGAAUUCCUGGAGGAACUUCCGCAGGAUUACAUGGAAGAUCUUCCGAAGGCAUUCCUGGAGGAACUUCCGGAGGAAUUCCUAAGGAAACUUCCGGAGGAAUCCCUGGAAAAACUUCCGGAAGAUUUCCUGGAAAAACUUCCGGAGGAUUUCCUGGAGGAACUUUUACAGGAGGAACUUCCGGAAUAAUUCAUGGAGGGACUUCCGCAGAGAUUACUGGAGGAACUUCCGCAGGAUUUCAAGAGGAAACCCUGGAAGAACAUCCGGAGGAUUUUCUGGUGGAACUUCUGGAGGAAUUGCUGGUGAAACUUCUGCAGGAAUUCCUGGAGGAACUUACGGAGGAAAUCCUGGAGGAACUUCCUGAGGAAUUGCUGGAGGAAAUUACGGAGGAAUUACUGGAGGAAAUUACGGAGGAAUUCCUGAAGGAACUGCCGCGGGAGUUCUUGGGGGUACUUCCGGAUGACUCUCUGGAGGAUCUUUCGAAGGAUUUCCUGGAGGAACUUCCGGAUAAAUUCAUGGAGAGACUUCCACAGGAAUUACUGGAGGAACUUCCGUAGGAAUUCCUGGAGUAACUUCCGCAGGAUUUCCUGGAGGAACUUUUGGCGGAAUUCCCGGAGGAAUUUGCAGAGGAAUUCCUGGAGGAACAUCCGGAGGAUUUCCUGGUGGAACUUCAGGAGGAAUUACUGAAGAAAUUUCUCCAUGAAUUGCUGGAGGAGGAAUUCUUUGAGGUACAUAUGGAGGAUUUUCUUGAGGAACUUUGGAGGAAUUCCUGAAAGAACUUCUGCCGGAGUCCCUGGAGGAACAUCUGGAGGAGUUUUCGAAGGAACUUUUGGAUGAUUUUUUGGCGAGCUUAUGGAGGAAUUCCUGUUGGAUGUAUUGGUAGUCAAAUGGUGUCAGACGGCGGUACCAAGAUCGAUAUAGCUGCACGGAUCAAGAAAGCAAGGGCUACCUUUGCGAGUUUAAGAAAUGCCUGGAAAAACAGGCGGCAGAUUUGUGAACGUACCAAAAUCCGAAUUUUUAAUUCUAACGUGAAGUCAGUGCUGCAACACGUUAAUAAAACAUGGUGUGAAUCACUGGAGAACACUCAACGGCUGCAGGUGUUUAUCAACAGAUGUCCACGGUACAUAAUUCGUGCCCGGAGGCCUGGUGGUCACAACUGGAUCUCAAACAACGAGCUUUAUUGUCGUUGUCACUAGAGGCAGAUAGCGACUAAAAUUCGGGAACGGAAGUGGGACUGGGUCGAUCCCAGGGGCGGAAAUGAAACCUAUAAACAUUAGACUGGAACCCAGCUGGACAUCGUAACAGAGGCAGACCCAGGGGCUCAUGGCGACGAAGCCUCCAUAAAAAAAUUUAAGAAAUCAACAGAAGUCUAACUUGGCAACAGGUUAAGGCGAUAGCUGGACAACGAUCAUCAAGUCGGCCCUUUGUACCACUCGAUGUGUACAGGACCCAUAAAUUAACUGGACUAAAUCCUAACUAACAAACACGAAACGCACUUCCCAAAACAAAGCGAUGUGGGUUUCUCGUGAGCCUUGAUGCCCGGCUAGAAUAAACGGAGCACUGACAUCGCCUCUGGCCAUCACCUUCUAAUUGGCGAGAUCCAACUAUGCAACGGCACAGAUCAUGCAUGCCUACAUUUUAUGAUAUGGCUCACAGCUGGAUUCAAGAGAUAAAUAGAGAUCACAUUCUUCGUGCUACCAACAAGACGAAUCUGUAAAGAAAACCAGCGUCUGGAAGUAUUUUUCAGUAAUGGCCUAAAGGUCAGUUCAAAGUGUUACUGAACUGAUUCGUCGUUGCCAAAAAUAAUGUAGGAUAAACACGGUGAAGAAGCGCUUAUCCUCCAGGAUUACAUACCAUCCAACCAGUCCCAUACAAUUAAAUUUCGAGUCAAGUACGAGACACUGAAGACGGCCUUAAAGUUUAGGUUCCAUUUUUGUUACUAUUUUGAUUAGGAAUGUGUCUGUGUCUGGAAUGUCUUCACUUUUCAAGUCAAGUAUACUCAGAAUAUACGAAUACGAGAACUGAAAACGGCCUUUCUGUUGAGGACGAAAUGCGUAUCUGUAAAAUUAGAAUCAAGCGGUGGAAUUAUAUGGGAUAGUAGUAACUGCUCUUAGGACAAGCUUCUUCUUCUUCUUCUUAUUGGCAUUACAUCCCCAAAUUGGGACAGAGCCGCCUCGCAGCUUAGUGUUCAUUAAGCACUUCGACAGUUAUUAACUGCGAGGUUUCUAAGCCAGGUUACCAUUUUUGCAUUCGUAUAUCAUGAGGCUAGCACGAUGAUACUUUUAUGCCCAGGGAAGUCGAGACAAUUUCCAAUCCUAAAAUUGCCUAGACCGGCACCGGGAAUCGAACCCAGCCACCCUCAGCAUGGUCUUGUUUGUAGCCGCGCGUCUUACCGCACGGCUAAGGAGGGCCCUUAGGACAAGCACAUUACAUUAAUAACAAAUAAGUGAUUCGAAUAUUAUUAUUCUAACAAAGAACAUACCAAACAAAAUAUUUGAAAAAAAAAAUUAAAAAACUACAAAGUAGAACUUAAAAUUUUACAAAGAAAUUAGAUAUAACAUGUAUAAUUAAAAACCAUAAAAUCAACAUAAUAUAAAAAUUGAACUGUGUAAUGUGUAAAAAUGGUUAAUAAAUUGUGAAAUC